GGUCGAGCUACAAAGGGCUCACGGAGGAUACCUA
RNAcentral lists this ribosomal RNA (34 nucleotides) under uncultured cyanobacterium. RNAcentral describes it as "partial 23S ribosomal RNA". The record is from RNAcentral. Lineage: Bacteria; Bacillati; Cyanobacteriota.